This 256-nucleotide ribosomal RNA is filed under the name uncultured bacterium. RNAcentral describes it as "partial 16S ribosomal RNA". It matches the Rfam family "Bacterial small subunit ribosomal RNA", at positions 524 to 776 of the family's 1533-position model. The record is from RNAcentral.
UACGGAGGGUGCAAGCGUUAAUCGGAAUUACUGGGCGUAAAGCGCACGCAGGUGGCUGAGUCAGUCGAUUGUGAAAGCCCUGGGCUUAACCUGGGAAUUGCAGUCGAUACUACUCAGCUAGAGUAUGGGAGAGGGUAGUGGAAUUCCCGGUGUAGCGGUGAAAUGCGCAGAUAUCGGGAGGAACACCGGUGGCGAAGGCGGGUUCUCUGGGCCUUACUUGGACGCUGAGGAGCGAAAGCGUUGGGGAGCGAACAGG